AGGAAAACGUGUUGCGCAUCUCUAGUUUGAUAUGAGCUUUAGUAUCUCCCCACUACAGUGCGAGAAAAGUCAGGGCAAAGGAUUGAAAAGAAGUUCACAACAAAAAAGUUUGAACACAAGCAAACCUGAAACAGAUGCAGGGUAGUAGAUCUUAAGGGUGCGUUGCUCACUCCAGGGCCUGCUGCCACCCAGAUGGCUGGCAAACACCAGGACUCCGAACACAACAGGAUUCAGGGAUUCAGACAGGAGUCUUGCUCUACCAAUUAUUAUAGGAUCUUAGGGAUGCCUUUCCAGUAAAGCUAACAAAAAACAAAACAAAAUAAAACCAUAUCCAAAAUACUAAACAGCUGUCUCCAAGAUCAGAAGGCAUCAGAAAAGACCCUCAAGAGUUGUCUAAUCCCAGAGGAAGAUCUUAAGUGGGGAUGUGCUCACAGCAGAAACCUUGGAAAUUUCAGGGAGUGAAAUUUUAUUGUCAGAACUUUCAAUAAAAGUGUAGCCACAGAUCCUGGGAGCAUUAAAUAAAAAUUACCAACAAGCUGUCUUACCUGUGUGCACUCCACUGAAAGGAAGGGCAAACAUGAGCAAGGAGCUCUUGUACAUCAGUCAAAAUUCUGACAGCUACCCUGUGAAGUUUGACGGGCUGCCAUGUGCUAGACUACCUAAGAUACUCUUAACUGAACCAUAAAAAG
Molecule: long non-coding RNA, 689 nt
Filed under: Homo sapiens (human)
Lineage: Eukaryota; Metazoa; Chordata; Mammalia; Primates; Hominidae
Description: non-protein coding lnc-C15orf41-7:3
Source: RNAcentral